This 301-nucleotide long non-coding RNA is filed under the name Musa acuminata (dwarf banana). Its description in RNAcentral is "long non-coding RNA (MACU_LNC007112)". The record is from RNAcentral. Lineage: Eukaryota; Viridiplantae; Streptophyta; Magnoliopsida; Zingiberales; Musaceae.
ACCUUCGGACUUCCAUCGAACUCUCGAACUCGCAAUGAAUCCUUCGUGCUUGACUCCGACACUUUGUUUUGCUUUAUGUCUUCGUCGUUAUCGUAGUUAAUCCUGCACACACAAGCAAAAACUCUACUCCGAUCUAGACAAUUAUUAUAAAGCGAAUUGACAUUCUGUUGCCCGGCACGUCAUUGGUUGGCGCUUCGUCCGAUUCUUCGGCGCAUCAUCCUCUCUUGCGGCUUGUUGCCCAAUCGGCGGUUGACCUCCGCAACGCCGAUAUCCUUGGCACAGUUUCGCUCUCCUUGGCCCG